Molecule: ribosomal RNA, 254 nt
Filed under: uncultured bacterium
Lineage: Bacteria
Description: partial 16S ribosomal RNA
Rfam family: Bacterial small subunit ribosomal RNA
Source: RNAcentral
AACGUAGGUACCGAGCGUUAUCCGGAUUUACUGGGCGUAAAGCGCGUUCAGGCGGUUUGGCAAGUCGGGCAUGAAAUCUCUCGGCUCAACCGGGAGAGGUUGUCCGAUACUUCCAGACUUGAGGGCAGUAGAGGGUGGUGGAAUUCCGGGUGUAGUGGUGAAAUGCGUAGAGAUCGGGAGGAACACCUGUGGCGAAGGCGGCCACCUGGGCCGACCCUGACGCUGAGGCGCGAAGGCGUGGGGGAGCGAACGGG